GAUGAACGCUGGCGGCGUGCCUAAUACAUGCAAGUCGAGCGAACAGACCCGGCUCUUGCUCCUCUCACGUUAGCGGCGCACGGGUGUGUAACACGUGGAUAACCUACCUAUCAGACUGGGAUAAUUUCGGGAAACCGGCUCUAAUACCGGAUAAUAUAUUGCUCCGCAUGGUUCAAUAGUGAGAGACGGCUUUUCUGUCUCUUCUAGCUGCAUCCGCGCCGCAUUAGCUAGUUGGUAAGGUAACGGCUUACGACGGCAACGAUGCGUGGCCGACGUGAGAGGGUGAUCGGCGACACGGGAGCGGAGACGCGGUCCAGAGGCCUAAGGGAGGCAGCAGUAGGGAAUCGUACGCAAUGGGCGAAAGCAUGACGGAGCAACGGGGAGUGAGUGAUGAAGGUGUUCGGAGCGUAAAACUCGGUUAUUAGGGAAGAACAAAUGUGUAAGGAAAUAUGGACGUCUUGACGGUAACUAAUAAAGAAGCAACGGCUAACUACGUG
RNAcentral lists this ribosomal RNA (497 nucleotides) under uncultured bacterium. RNAcentral describes it as "partial 16S ribosomal RNA". It matches the Rfam family "Bacterial small subunit ribosomal RNA", at positions 28 to 507 of the family's 1533-position model. The record is from RNAcentral.